UUGAAAGGGAAACGAUUGAAGUCAGUCGUACUUGCGGGUAAUCAGCCUUUUGGGUGUGAUUCUGUGGAGUGUGAGGAGUUAAACGCCUUCAUGCCUGCAUAUUCGUGCACUUUGGGUGUACUUGCCCGUGUGGUAGGUUAACAUCAAUUUCGGAUAUCAUAAAAUGGCUGGAGGAAUGUAGCUUCGGUCUCGUACUGAAGUGUUAUAGCCUCUGGUAGAUGUGAUGACCGGGAUUGAGGAUUGCAACGAAUACCUUUUGGGCUACCCGCCUGAUCUCUGAAAGUUGCUCUGGUGCCGAAAGCUUGCUUACGGUUAUCAAAGUUGACGUUCAAAAGGUUAGAACGGGUUAAAUUCGUUAAGGAUGUUGACGUA
RNAcentral lists this ribosomal RNA (372 nucleotides) under uncultured Glomeromycotina. Its description in RNAcentral is "LSU rRNA". Lineage: Eukaryota; Fungi; Glomeromycota. The record is from RNAcentral.